Molecule: ribosomal RNA, 410 nt
Filed under: uncultured microorganism
Description: bacterial SSU rRNA
Rfam family: Bacterial small subunit ribosomal RNA
Source: RNAcentral
CAGCCGCCGCGGUAAUACGUAGGGUGCGAGCGUUAAUCGGAUUUACUGGGCGUAAAUCGUGCGCAGGCGGCCCGUUAAGACAGGUGUGAAAUCCCUGGGCUCAACCUAGGAAUUGCGCUUGUGACUGGCGGGCUCGAGUACGGUAGAGGGGGGUGGAAUUCCUGGUGUAGCAGUGAAAUGCGUAGAGAUCAGGAGCAACACCGAUGGCGAAGGCAGCCCCCUGGGCCUGUACUGACGCUCAUGCACGAAAGCGUGGGGAGCAAACAGGAUUAGAUACCCUGGUAGUCCACGCCCUAAACGAUGGGUACUAGCCGUUUGGUGCGCGAUAGCGCUGAGUGGCGAAGCUAACGCGUGAAGUACCCCGCCUGGGGAGUACGGCCGCAAGGUUGAAACUUAAAGGAAUUGGCGGG